UACGGGGGGGGCAAGCGUUGUUCGGAAUUACUGGGCGUAAAGGGCUCGUAGGCGGCCAACUAAGUCGGACGUGAAAUCCCUCGGCUUAACCGGGGAACUGCGUCCGAUACUGGAUGGCUUGAGUUCGGGAGAGGGAUGCGGAAUUCCAGGUGUAGCGGUGAAAUGCGUAGAUAUCUGGAGGAACACCGGUGGCGAAGGCGGCAUCCUGGACCGAGAUUGACGCUGAGGCGCGAAAGCCAGGGGAGCAAACGGG
This 253-nucleotide ribosomal RNA is filed under the name uncultured bacterium. RNAcentral describes it as "partial 16S ribosomal RNA". It matches the Rfam family "Bacterial small subunit ribosomal RNA", at positions 524 to 776 of the family's 1533-position model. The record is from RNAcentral.